Molecule: ribosomal RNA, 460 nt
Filed under: uncultured bacterium
Lineage: Bacteria
Description: partial 16S ribosomal RNA
Rfam family: Bacterial small subunit ribosomal RNA
Source: RNAcentral
CCUACGGGAGGCAGCAGUGAGGAAUAUUGGUCAAUGGACGAGAGUCUGAACCAGCCAAGUAGCGUGAAGGAUGACUGCCCUAUGGGUUGUAAACUUCUUUUAUAUGGGAAUAAAACGUUCCACGUGUGGGAUUUUGUAUGUACCAUAUGAAUAAGGAUCGGCUAACUCCGUGCCAGCAGCCGCGGUAAUACGGAGGAUCCGAGCGUUAUCCGGAUUUAUUGGGUUUAACGGGAGCGUAGGUGGAUUGUUAAGUCAGUUGUGAAAGUUUGCGGCUCAACCGUAAAAUUGCAGUUGAAACUGGCAGUCUUGAGUACAGUAGAGGUGGGCGGAAUUCGUGGUGUAGCGGUGAAAUGCUUAGAUAUCACGAAGAACUCCGAGUGCGAAGGCAGUUCACUGGACUGCAACUGACACUGAGGCUCGAAAGUGUGGGUAUCAAACAGGAUUAGAUACCCGUGUAGUC